GACUACAAGGGUAUCUAAGCCUGUUUGCUCCCCACGCUUUCGUGCAUGAGCGUCAGUACAGGCCCAGGAGGCUGCCUUCGCCAUCGGUGUUCCUCCGCAUAUCUACGCAUUUCACUGCUACACGCGGAAUUCCACCUCCCUCUGCCGUACUCUAGUUAUGCAGUCACAAACGCAGUUCCCAGGUUGAGCCCGGGGAUUUCACAUCUGUCUUACAUAACCGCCUGCGCACGCUUUACGCCCAGUAAUUCCGAUUAACGCUCGCACCCUACGUAUUACCGCGGCUGCUGGCACGUAGUUAGCCGGUGCUUCUUCUUACGGUACCGUCAUCCACACCGGGUAUUCACCGAUGCGUUUUCUUUCCGUCUGAAAGAGCUUUACAACCCGAAGGCCUUCUUCACUCACGCGGCAUGGCUGGAUCAGGGUUGCCCCCAUUGUCCAAAAUUCCCCACUGCUGCCUCCCGUAGG
RNAcentral lists this ribosomal RNA (465 nucleotides) under uncultured Zoogloea sp. RNAcentral's name for it is "partial 16S ribosomal RNA". Lineage: Bacteria; Pseudomonadati; Pseudomonadota; Betaproteobacteria; Rhodocyclales; Zoogloeaceae. The record is from RNAcentral.